Molecule: small nuclear RNA, 102 nt
Filed under: Tursiops truncatus (common bottlenose dolphin)
Lineage: Eukaryota; Metazoa; Chordata; Mammalia; Artiodactyla; Delphinidae
Description: U4 spliceosomal RNA (ENSTTRG00000021678.1)
Rfam family: U4 spliceosomal RNA
About the family: U4 small nuclear RNA (U4 snRNA) is a component of the major U2-dependent spliceosome. The structure of U4 snRNA from yeast and human has been reported.
Source: RNAcentral
AGCUUUGCGCAGUGGCAGUGUCGUAGCCAGUGAGGUGUAUCCGAGGCGCGAUUAUUGCUAAUUGAAAAAUGUCUCCAAACAUUUCCAAAUGUCCCCAAGGGG